GACGUAGGAUGCGAGCGUUGUCCGGAUUUAUUGGGCGUAAAGAGUUCGUAGGUGGUUUGUUAAGUCUGAUGUUAAAGACUGGGGCUCAACCUCGGAAGUGCAUUGGAUACUGGCAGACUCGAGUGCAGUAGAGGCAAGCGGAAUUCCAGGUGUAGCGGUGAAAUGCGUAGAUAUCAAGAAGAACACCGGUGGCGAAGGCGGCUCUCUGGAAUGCAACUGACACUGAGGCACGAAAGCUGGGGAAGCAAACAGG
RNAcentral lists this ribosomal RNA (253 nucleotides) under uncultured bacterium. RNAcentral describes it as "partial 16S ribosomal RNA". It matches the Rfam family "Bacterial small subunit ribosomal RNA", at positions 524 to 776 of the family's 1533-position model. The record is from RNAcentral.